RNAcentral lists this long non-coding RNA (232 nucleotides) under Arachis ipaensis. RNAcentral describes it as "long non-coding RNA (AIPA_LNC002087)". Lineage: Eukaryota; Viridiplantae; Streptophyta; Magnoliopsida; Fabales; Fabaceae. The record is from RNAcentral.
ACUUGUAAAUCAUUUCUUAUUUCCCGUUAUAGCUACUAGCUAGGUAGCCCUCAACAUUUGUUUGUUUUUUAAUGUAUGGUUUUUUUUUUUUUUUUUGUAUGAAGACUCACCAUCUUUGGUGGUAAUAGGCUAAUACCAUAACUCCUUAAUAUUUUGCGUUAUAUGCUAUGCUCAUAUUUAAGAGUUGUCUAACAAUGUUAAUUGAGUAUAAUAAAAAAUAAAUAAAGUUCAC